GAUGAACGCUAGCUACAGGCUUAACACAUGCAAGUCGAGGGGAAACGGGAGGAUAGCUUGCUAUCUUCGCCGUCGACCGGCGCACGGGUGAGUAACGCGUAUCCAACCUGCCAUCCAGCGGCGGAUAGCCUUUCGAAAGAAAGGAUAAUACUCCAUGACCUCCUCAGAGGACAUCUGACGAGGAGCAAAGAUUUAACGAUGGGUGUUGGGGAUGCGGCUGAUUAGGCAGUUGGCGGGGUAACGGCUCACCACACAGACGAGCAGUAGGGGUUCUGAGAGGAAGGUCCCCCACAUUGGAACUGAGACACGGUCCAAACUCCUACGGGAGGCAGCAGUGAGGAAGAUUGGUCAAUGGACGUAAGUCUGAAACAGCCAAGUAGCGUGCAGGAUGACGGCCCUAUGGGUUGUAAACUGCUUUUAUGCGGGGGUAAAGUGAGUGACGUGUCAUUCAUUGCAAGUACCGCAAGAAUAAGGACCGGCUAAUUCCGUGCCAGCCGCCGCAGUAA
This 506-nucleotide ribosomal RNA is filed under the name uncultured bacterium. Its description in RNAcentral is "partial 16S ribosomal RNA". It matches the Rfam family "Bacterial small subunit ribosomal RNA", at positions 28 to 523 of the family's 1533-position model. The record is from RNAcentral.